UACGGAAGGGGCAAGCGUUGUUCGGAAUCAUUGGGCGUAAAGGGCGCGUAGGUGGUUUUGUGUGUCUACCGUGAAAGCAUACAGCUCAACUGUAUUUUGUCGGUAGAAACUGCAGGACUUGAGGCUGGGAGGGGCUGGUGGAAUUCCCCGUGUAGCGGUGAAAUGCGUAGAGAUGGGGGAGAACACUCGUGGCGAAGGCGGCCAGCUAGACCAGUUCUGACACUGAGGCGCGACAGCGUGGGGAGCAAACAGG
This 253-nucleotide ribosomal RNA is filed under the name uncultured bacterium. Its description in RNAcentral is "partial 16S ribosomal RNA". It matches the Rfam family "Bacterial small subunit ribosomal RNA", at positions 524 to 776 of the family's 1533-position model. The record is from RNAcentral.